This 338-nucleotide unclassified non-coding RNA is filed under the name Hevea brasiliensis (rubber tree). Lineage: Eukaryota; Viridiplantae; Streptophyta; Magnoliopsida; Malpighiales; Euphorbiaceae. The record is from RNAcentral.
CCCCCCUCUGGUUGGGGUUUUAAUCUUUUGGAAUUUUCACAAAUCUUGGACGAUGAAAAAGGAUCCUUCCCAAAAAAAUUUGGUGAGCUCAAUUCUUGGAAGCCUUUACAAAAGGAAUCCAUCUGAAUGAGGCCCUCUGCACCAUGGAUGGAGUUGACUACUAGUUGGAGUUUCCUCAAAGAGUGAUUAACUUUCUUGAUUUUUCGAGAAGGCCAUCGGUUGAUACCAUGUUGCCUGCAUAUCCUUUUUAGAGUAGUGGGGCAUACUCCAAUACUCUUAGCAGCAUCUUUAAGGCUACCAGCAAAAUACUGUCGAAGAAUUUGCAAAGUGAUUGUCUU